Molecule: RNA transcript, 2681 nt
Organism: Rosa chinensis
Lineage: Eukaryota; Viridiplantae; Streptophyta; Magnoliopsida; Rosales; Rosaceae
Gene name: protein FAR1-RELATED SEQUENCE 1-like
Exons: 3
Source: RefSeq, a predicted model, not a curated record
UAUACAGAUCCUAUCCAGAGCGAUGCCUCGCUCUGAAAUUAAAGUGCGAGGCUCCUUUCCUAGCCCUUGGAUCAAUUUACUUAAAUCUAAAGGACCAUAACUCAUCUCUCUUAACCAAGGUUAAAACCCACGGGUUAACAAAUAAGAAAAAGAAAAAAAAAAAAAAAAACCAAACGCACAAUUCUAGGUUUUCCACACUCAAGACGUCUCAUCCUCUUCUCCUCUACCGUGCAUGCGUGGUCGAUCUUCUCCUCUGCUGUGCUCUUCUCAUUCAAGACGUCUCAAUAACAGGAAUGGAGUCACAACAAAGUUUCGAUGACACUGCUAUCUAUUGUCCUCAAGUGAAGGUUGAUCUAAUUCCUGUAAAGAACCAAGAAUUUCAUACACUAGAAGACGUUGAGACGUUUUACAAAAGCUAUGCAAAAGAAUCAGGGUUUGAUGUCAAAAGUUUUACUAGCGAGAAGAAGAAUGGUGUGAUUGUAAGAAAGGCGUAUGUGUGCUCUAAACAAGGAACAUCAAAGGUAACAGGAAAGAAAAGAAAUAGGAAUCGAACAAGAGUAAAUUGCAAGGCAAGAAUAGUAGUUGCAAGACGUGCUACGAUCGGCAAAUAUGUUGUCACUAUUUUUGAUGAGGGUCACAGCCAUCCUUUAACUACCCUACGAAGAAAACAUCUGACAAAGAUCCAUCGUGAGGUUUCAUCGAUUCAUAAAUCAUUAACGAAACAACUGACUGCAGUCAAUGUGCCAACAUGUACACAAUUUGACUUUCUUGGAGUGCAUUCAGGAGGAGUAGAAAACAUUGGGUGCUUGCAACAAGAUAUUUAUAACUACAAAAGGGAUUGUCGCAAAGAGGUGGAGGGGCAUGAUGGAGAUAUGUUGCAUGAGUACUUCCUGUUGGAGAUAGAAAAAGAUCCUUCAUUAAUUUUCAAAAUAGAGGCUGAUAAUGAGAACAGGAUCACACAUAUCUUUUGGGCUGAUGCAAUUUCUAGACGAUCUUACAAGUUUUAUGGUGAUGUUGUAAUAUUUGACACAACUUACAAUACCAAUAUGUAUUCGUUGAUCUUUGCACCUUUGGUGGGAGUAAAUAAUCAUGGGCAGACAAUAAUUUUGGCUUGUGCAUUCUUAAGCAAUGAGACAACUGAUUCUUUUGUUUGGUUCUUUAAAGAAUUUUUAGAUGCAAUGCCAGGUGAUGCUCCGAGGAUGAUUAUUACUGAUCAAGAUCCAGCAAUGACGAAAGCUAUCUCUGAAGUACUCCCACAGACAUUUCACAGGUAUUGUAGUUGGCAUAUUCUAAAUAAAUUCUCUGAAAAAAUAGACCCAGGAAAAUAUACUCGUUAUUAUGAUGAAUUUCAAGAUUGCAUAUGGAAUUCAGAAAAUAGAGAUGAGUUUGAUGCAAGGUGGACAUCGAUUGUUGUGAGUAGUGGUUUAAGUGACAAUGGAUGGUUAAAGACUAUGUAUGAUAUUCGGUCAACAUGGGUGCCUGCAUAUGUAAAUCAUAUCUUUUCAGCUGGGAUGUCAAGUAGUCAACGAGCAGAAAGUGGGCAUGCUUUCUACAAGAGGUUUGUUUCUAAAGAAAACACAUUGUUAGAUUUUAUGCUUCAGUUUAAUCGAGCUGUCACACGUCAACGACAUAUGGAAUUAAUGGAGGACAAUGUUGACAUCAAUGAGAAGCCAAAUUUUCACUCACCCUUUUAGAUGGCAGACCAAAUGGCUCGUGUUUAUACACAUGAAUGCUUUAAACAAUUUUAUGAUCAGUUGUCGCAGUGUUGCAAUUAUAGAUUUGAGCUCUCACAUGAGAAUGAUACGUAUAUGGUGUAUAUUGCACUGAGAAAAAAAAUGGAGAACCCCAAGGGUCGUGAAAUUAUUUAUGCUAAAGAGUCAGAUUUUGUAUCAUGCAGCUGCAAAAAAUUUGAGACUGUCGGGAUACCAUGUAGAUAUAUUUUGGCAUUUCUCAUAUUUAUACGACUUGUUGAUAGAUUGCCAGAUCAAUACAUCUUAAAGAGGUGGACGAAAUCAAGAAAAGCUGAGACAGUUCUUGAUGAUGUCGGUGUGGAGAUAACAGAUAAUGGAGAUUUGCUUGCCAGGCGGAGUCGAUUAUGCCAAUAUGUUGUAGAUGUAAUUGAUAAGAUUAUGGGUAGCGAAGAAGCAAGUGAUUUGUUUGUAGAUUCAUUAAAGAGUGUUCUGGAGAUGUAUAAUUCCAUGAUGGCUGAUGGUGAGACUGUUAAGUCUGCAAUAGUGCCAGCUGAACAAAAAAGUCUUCCUUCUCAACACAUUUAUAAUGAACCUAUUCAAGUAAGGGCCAAAGGAUGUGGGAAAAGAUUGAAGGCAGGGAAAGAGAAGGGAAGAUUGAAAGCUGCAAAGAAGGCAAAUGGUAAAGGUAGAUUUUGUCAUGGAUGUAAAAAAAAUGACCAGCAACAUGAUAAAAGAAAUUGUCCUGAGUUGAAGAAUAAAAAUGACAUAUCAAUCCCUCAAACUGGAGAGGAUACAAGUGACCCAAGUACGAAUGAGGAAGAGUAUUCCAACACAGGAGUUGAUGAGUUUGCGUAGCAAGCCGAGCAUGAUUGUCCAAAAUUAUUUGUCAUCCCUUGUCGAUUUUGUUUGAUUAUGCACUCAUCUGCAAUGCUAAACAAUUUUCUCAUGUAGGAUUUUUUAAUUUGUAACUAUUGUUACAGUUCAGAGAUG